AGUGGCGACGAAGGGUCGACGUAACACGUGGGUCAUUUGCCGUGAAGCUGGGAACAACUCGUUGAAAGACGAGCUAAUACCCAAUGUGCUCCGCAAGGAGUAAAGCCGGGGACCGCAAGGCCUGGCACUUUACGAUAAGCCCGCGGCCUAUCAGCUAGUUGGCGGGGUAAAAGCCACCAAGGCUAAGACGGGUAGCUGGUCUGAGAGGACGACCAGCCACACUGGAACUGAGACACGGUCCAGACACCUACGGGUGGCAGCAGUCGAGAAUUUUUCACAAUGGGCGAAAGCCUGAUGGAGCGACGCCGCGUGGGGGAUGAAGGGCUUCGGCUCGUAAACCCCUGUCAUUCGCGAACAAAGGUGCCGGCCUAAUAUGCCGUCGUCUGAUAGUAGCGGAAGAGGAAGGGACGGCUAACUCUGUGCCAGC
This 427-nucleotide ribosomal RNA is filed under the name uncultured bacterium. RNAcentral's name for it is "bacterial SSU rRNA". It matches the Rfam family "Bacterial small subunit ribosomal RNA", at positions 91 to 512 of the family's 1533-position model. The record is from RNAcentral.